RNAcentral lists this long non-coding RNA (833 nucleotides) under Athene cunicularia (burrowing owl). RNAcentral describes it as "lncRNA (ENSACUG00000002569.1)". Lineage: Eukaryota; Metazoa; Chordata; Aves; Strigiformes; Strigidae. The record is from RNAcentral.
UUAGGAUACUCCUGAGCAGUUUAUCCGUAGUAGUUACAGGUGGUUUAAUGCCAGGGCCAGUCCCUGGCCACGCCAGCUUUGCUAACGGAGCCCCUGGGGGGUUGUUUCUGGUUUGCAGGACUGCGGGUUUUCAAGCAUUGCACUGCAAAUUCCAGCACGACGUGCGUGCCUUGCGUAGAGGGUACAUAUACAGAUCAUCCCAAUGGUUUAGAACACUGCCGGAAAUGUAAACUCUGUGAUAAAGGAGCCAACCUAGUGCCAGAAGUAGCAUGUACCUAUACGAAGAAUACUGUGUGUGGCUGUCCACCUGAGUAUUUCUGCAGUUAUUUUGGGCCUGAAGACUGUGAACUUUGUCAACCCUACACCAUCUGCUUUCCUGGCACUAUGGUAAAAGAAAGGGGCACAAAGACCACUGACAAUGUGUGUGAAGCCUGUCCUCCCGGAACCUCCUCAACAGCCAACAUGUCUUACAGUUGUACCCCAUGGCCCACAUGUGAGGAGAACUGCUGGGUACAAGGAGAGGACAGGAAUCCGUCCUCACAUUCCUCUGCUGCAGUAGUUGGUUACGUUGGAGGCGUGCUGUUAGUUGUUGCAGCUGGCCUGUGCCUUGCGUUUAUCUGGCGCAGGAGGAAGAGUUACACACCACCGGUGCAGGAGUCUGGGAUUGGACAGCAGGGUCAGGCUUUGAUAUUAACCGUGGAGAGUGGGGACCAAACAACUGUUGCUGUGCAGGAGACCGGUGCCGAUCCUAAACAAACCGUGCGUGAAUAGCCAUUUUGGUUUGAACUGUUGUGGACAGUGGAGAUGGUAAAAUAAACCCAGAAAAACCACCA